This 500-nucleotide ribosomal RNA is filed under the name uncultured bacterium. RNAcentral's name for it is "partial 16S ribosomal RNA". It matches the Rfam family "Bacterial small subunit ribosomal RNA", at positions 29 to 523 of the family's 1533-position model. The record is from RNAcentral.
AUUGAACGCUGGCGGAAUGCUUUACACAUGCAAGUCGAGCGGCAGCGCGGGGGCAACCCUGGCGGCGAGCGGCGAACGGGUGAGUAACACAUCGGAACGUACCCAGUUGUGGGGGAUAGCCCGGCGAAAGCCGGAUUAAUACCGCAUACGACCUGAGGGUGAAAGGGGGGGAUCGCAAGACCUCCUGCAGUUGGAGCGGCCGAUGGCGGAUUAGCUAGUUGGUGAGGUAAAGGCUCACCAAGGCGACGAUCCGUAGCUGGUCUGAGAGGACGACCAGCCACACUGGAACUGAGACACGGUCCAGACUCCUACGGGAGGCAGCAGUGGGGAAUUUUGGACAAUGGGGGCAACCCUGAUCCAGCCAUUCCGCGUGAGUGAAGAAGGCCUUCGGGUUGUAAAGCUCUUUCGGCAGGAACGAAACGGUGGAGGCUAAUACCUUUCAUCAAUGACGGUACCUGAAGAAGAAGCACCGGCUAACUACGUGCCAGCAGCCGCGGUAA